CUACGGGUGGCACCAGGCGCGGAACCUCUGCAAUGCACGAAAGUGUGACAGGGGAACUCCACGUGACUACUUUUUGUAGUCUUUUAUCCAGUCUAAAUAGCUGGGUGAAUAAGGGCUGGGCAAGAUUCGUGCCAGCCGCCGCGGUAAUACGAACAGCUCAAGUGGGUUCGUGAAUACUGGGUUUAAAGCGUCCGUAGCUGGUUUGAUCAGUUUCUGGUGAAAGCUUGCGUCUCAAGCGUGAGAGUUGCCAGAAAUACAGUCAGACUUGGAGCCGGGAAGGGCAAAAGGUAUUCCAGGGGUAGGAGUAAAAUCCUAUAAUCCUUGGAGGACCAUCAGUGGCGAAGGCGUUUUGCUAGAACGGCCUCGACAGUGAGGGACGAAAGCUAGGGGAGCAACGCGGAUUAGAUACCCGGGUAGUC
Molecule: ribosomal RNA, 419 nt
Filed under: uncultured archaeon
Lineage: Archaea
Description: partial 16S ribosomal RNA
Rfam family: Archaeal small subunit ribosomal RNA
Source: RNAcentral